Molecule: ribosomal RNA, 1263 nt
Filed under: Triticum aestivum (bread wheat)
Lineage: Eukaryota; Viridiplantae; Streptophyta; Magnoliopsida; Poales; Poaceae
Description: partial small subunit ribosomal RNA
Source: RNAcentral
AUGGCCCGCCACCGCCCCGCCGUGCUCAUCCCCAUCCAGACCCCCAAUCCAUGGCCUCUGACUGCUGCCCUCCUACCCCGCCUCCUCCCCUCACCGCUGGUGACUCCCUGCUCUUCCUCUCAUCGCCCCCUGCUCCCCGCUAUCGCCUCUGUUUGCUCCCCACGCUCGGCCGCUCCGGAUCCAGAUCCACGGCCCCAUUUGCCACUGCUUGGACAGGCUGCUGGUGCUGGCCGUGGACGGGCUGCCGGUGGCAGCGCCGCUCAACGGCCGUCGCUGCUGUCCGCUCGGCUCGGACGACUACACCGUCAUCCAGAUGACCUUAGGCCGCCCCGCCUCCACCUCCGCACCGGCCAUGAAGCCGUGACGCCCCAGCCGCCUAGUAUAAGGGUCUCAGAUUCAGUACAAUGUUACACUUCUGCACAAAUCGCUGUUGCCAUUGCGGAGAAUUGUAAUCAAUCAAUUGUCAUUUGCCUUGCCGUUGCAGGUAAGCUCCUCGUUGACUUGAGUAUAAUUCUGCAUCGACUGCUUGUUCACUAUCCCCCUCGGUAUCCAAAACAAUCUGGUAUCCAUAUUCUAGGAAAUAGCCAAGAAACCCAGCUAUGUGUGCUCAGCAUCCAGCAAAUCCUAGCUAUCUUCAUUUUGGUUGGAUAUUACUUGAAAAUUAGUUCACUUAUUGUCAUCAUGAAUCCUCCAGAGCGGGAGUAUAUUAAGAUAAAUGUUGAUGCUAGUUUUGUGGAGAGCUUGAGAUUUGCUAGCGUUGGGGUUGUCGCUAGGAAUCAUCUGGGAGAAGUCCUGGUGUCUUCUUGGGAUUUUAUUCGAAUGUGCUCCGGAGCGGAGGAGGAGGAACUUCGUGCAUGCCUCGCCGGGCUGUACAUUGGUAUUUCUCUUCACAAACCAAUUAUCUUGGAAACUGACUGCUCCUUUGCUGCAUCUUUCCUAGCGAAAGAAACUGUUGACAGGUCUCCUUAUGUGGAUCUAAAAAUGGAAGCGAUCACCGCCUCCAAGUUUUUUGUUGAUCUCAAGAUUGUUAAGAUGGAUAGGCAGGCAAACAAGGCGGCACAUGAGAUAGCAAAAUUUAGUUUUGAUACCAUGUCCGAUGACUUAGACACCUUCACGGAGUGGUGGCUCACACAAAGGACAAAUUUCUCCGGGAGGUUUCGACGGGGCUUUGACUCCUUUGUGAUCGGUACUCCAUGGCUGUUGUGGAAGCAAAGGAAUGCAAGGGUCUUCAACAGAACACAACAAAAAAAGCCGCAAGACUAG